RNAcentral lists this ribosomal RNA (239 nucleotides) under uncultured bacterium. Its description in RNAcentral is "partial 16S ribosomal RNA". It matches the Rfam family "Bacterial small subunit ribosomal RNA", at positions 335 to 584 of the family's 1533-position model. The record is from RNAcentral.
UCUACCUACGGGAGGCAGCAGUCGAGAAUCAUUCACAAUGGGGGAAACCCUGAUGGUGCGACGCCGCGUGGGGGAAUGAAGGUCAUAGGAUUGUAAACCCCUGUCAUGUGGGAGCAAAUUAAAAAGAUAGUACCACUAGAGGAAGAGACGGCUAACUCUGUGCCAGCAGCCGCGGUAAUACAGAGGUCUCAAUCGUUGUUCGGAAUCACUGGGCGUAAAGCGUGCGUAGGCUGUUUCGU